UACCGAGUGAGGGUUCGCUUGAGCCCAACCUCCCACCCGUGUUUACUGUUACCGCGUUGCCUCGGGGGGCCCACUGGGGCCUUGGGCCCGGGCGCCGGGGGGCAUCUGCCCCCGGGCCCGCGCCCGCCGAAGCGCUCCCGAACCCUGUCUGAACAGUGAGUCUGAGUACGAUUGAAUCAUUAAAACUUUCAACAACGGAUCUCUUGGUUCCGGCAUCGAUGAAGAACGCAGCGAAAUGCGAUAAGUAAUGUGAAUUGCAGAAUUCCGUGAAUCAUCGAAUCUUUGAACGCACAUUGCGCCCCCUGGCAUUCCGGGGGGCAUGCCUGUCCGAGCGUCAUUUCUGCCCUCCAGCACGGGUGGGUGGUGGGUGCUGUCCCCCCGGGGACCCCCCCCAAAGGCAGUGGCGGCGCCGCGUCGGGUCCUCGAGCGUAUGGGGCUUUGUCACCCGCUCGGGAAGGACUCCCCGGCGCUGGUCUUCCUCUUAGGCGGUCCUUCGGGGCUGUCUUCCUUCCGGUUGACCUCGGAUCAGGUAGGGUUACCCGCUGAACUUAAGCAUAUCAAUAAGCGGAGGAAAAGAAACCAACAGGGAUUGCCUCAGUAACGGGAGUGAAGCGGCAAGAGCUCAAAUUUGAAAUCUGGCUCCUUCGGGGCCCGAGUUGUAAUUUGGAGAGGAUGCUUCGGGCGUGGCCCCGUCUAAGUGCCCUGGAACGGGCCGUCAUAGAGGGUGAGAAUCCCGUCUGGGAUGGGUGGCAUGCCCGUGUGAAGCUCCUUCGAAGAGUCGAGUUGUUUGGGAAUGCAGCUCUAAGA
This 807-nucleotide ribosomal RNA is filed under the name Eurotiomycetes sp. TC228. RNAcentral describes it as "eukaryotic LSU rRNA". The stretch from base 516 to 807 matches the Rfam family "Eukaryotic large subunit ribosomal RNA", at positions 1 to 293 of the family's 3401-position model. The record is from RNAcentral. Lineage: Eukaryota; Fungi; Ascomycota; Eurotiomycetes.